UAUUAUCAUCAUCAUCAUCAUCAUCAUCAUCAUCAUUACCAUCAUCGCCGUCAAAGCCAUGCAAAGCUUCCCCUGCAUCUAUCUUGCUGAAAAGACUUUAGGACUAGGUUGUUGUUAUUAUUGUUAUCAUCAUCAUUAUAUCACUAUCAAAAACUUUAGAACCAGACUGUUGUUGUUGUUGUUGUUGUUAUUGUUAUCAUCAUCAUUAUAUCACUAUCAAAAACUUUAGAACCAGACUGUUGUUGUUCUUGUUGUUGUUGUUAUCAUCAUCAUCAUCAUCACCAUCAUCGCCGUCAAAGCCAUGCAAAGCCGCCCCUGCAUCAAUCAUGCUGAAAAGACUUUAGGACUAGGUUGUUGUUAUUAUUGUUAUCAUCAUCAUCAUCACCGGAGCAGUACCUAUUCAUCUACUCACAUUUGUAUGUUUUUGAACUGCUAGGUUGGCAGAAGCUGGAGCUAACAGCAAGCGCUCACUCUCUCCGAAUUCGAACCUGCAGCCUUUUGGUCUGCAAAUUCAGCAGCUCAGCGCUUUAACACACUGCGCCACCGGGGUCUCCAAUAAUAAUAAUAAUACUUUAUUUAUAUACUGCCCUAUCUCCUCAGGGGACUCAGGGCGUAGAUAGAUAGGUAUAUCUAUCUAUCUACAGUAGAGUCUCACUUAUCCAAGCCUCGCUUAUCCAAGGUUCUGGAUUAUCCAAGGCAUUUUUGUAGUCAAUGUUUUCAAUAUAUCGUGAUAUUUUGGUGCUAAAUUCGUUAAUACAGUAAUUGCAACAUAACAUUACUGCGUAUUGAACUACUUUUUCUGUCAAAUUUGUUGUAAAACAUGAUGUUUUGGUGCUUAAUUUGUAAAAUCAUAACCUAAUUUGAUGUUUAAUAGGCUCUUCCUUAAUCCCUCCUUAUUGUCCAAGAUAUUCGCUUAGCCAAGCUUCUGCCGGCCCCUUUAUGUUGGAUAAGUGAGACUCUACUGUAUAUAGAAACCCUCUGCUAAAAAGCAGCCAAUCAGUUGUCAAUAGUCCAUCUGAACAAAAAGAAAGAAAGUUCUGACAAUCCGUAACCUCCUGGGAGCCGCCACCGAGAAGGCCCUUCCCUUUUUAUUCCCAUCCAAAGAACCCAAAAAAAGGUCUUGUUUUAUGGGUUGAAAUCUCUCCGGACUUUUGGAUCUCAGAGCCACAGCUGCCUGGGUGCCAAGCAAGGAAAAUCAGGUCUUGGAUUUUGCAUUGGUUAUAAAUAGCCGGCUGUAAACACCCACUUGAAGGGUCCCUUUCCUUUUUGAAGGCCAAAGCAUGCACAUGGCUGCAUCCUACCAAACCCUAUUCCUGAAACCCCCAAAAUUGGAUUUUCCUAUCAAUCCCGGCUCACCCUUCUUGGCCUUU
RNAcentral lists this long non-coding RNA (1370 nucleotides) under Anolis carolinensis (green anole). RNAcentral describes it as "lncRNA (ENSACAG00000034786.1)". The record is from RNAcentral. Lineage: Eukaryota; Metazoa; Chordata; Lepidosauria; Squamata; Anolidae.